UACGUAGGGGGCCAGCGUUGCUCGGAAUUACUGGGCGUAAAGGGUUCGUAGGCGGUGCGGAAAGUUGGGCGUGAAAUCUCUGGGCUUAACCCAGAGGCUGCUUUCAAAACUUCCGUGCUCGAGUGCGAGAGAGGUCAGUGGAAUUGCAGGUGUAGCGGUGAAAUGCGUAGAUAUCUGCAGGAACACCCGUGGCGAAGGCGGCUGACUGGAUCGCAACUGACGCUGAGGAACGAAAGCUAGGGGAGCAAACAGG
Molecule: ribosomal RNA, 253 nt
Filed under: uncultured bacterium
Lineage: Bacteria
Description: partial 16S ribosomal RNA
Rfam family: Bacterial small subunit ribosomal RNA
Source: RNAcentral